Molecule: long non-coding RNA, 868 nt
Filed under: Gallus gallus (chicken)
Lineage: Eukaryota; Metazoa; Chordata; Aves; Galliformes; Phasianidae
Description: long non-coding RNA NONGGAT007802
Source: RNAcentral
CGAAGCCCGGAGCGGUACCCACUGGGCGGCCCCUCUGCUGCCCCCUGGUCGUGAUCUCUCCGUGCCCAGCUCCACGCGGCCCCACUGCUCACCCGCUCAGCGCUCCGAUGUCACAGCCAUUGCAACACCGCGACCGGAGCGCCGUCCUUUGCUCCGGGUGGGGAACGCGCGCUACGCGGAACCAUCGUUCCUCACCUCCAGUUCCCCCCUAACAAUCAGCGUUCGUCCCCUGCCCCCACGAAGCGCCCACAUCGAAAGGAACCCUCGGGAACACCCAGGGAGCCGCAAGCCGAGCUCAGCCCCUCCAGCGCGCUAUCCCGGCAGGAGUUGGGGGGGAUGAUGUGUGGCGGUGCUGGUUUCCACACGGCGCCAUUUUACAGAGGGGCUGUCGCAGCGGAGCGACUUCCGGCGCCUCUCAGAUCAUCAUUUGGAGGAUUCCAGCACGAGAUUUCUGAAGUCUGCUGUAUCCAGCCAUAAUGAGUUCCUCACUGGUUGCUUAUGAUGAUUCAGAGCCUGAGGCAGAAACUGAAAAAGCUGACGAUCUCGGUACUAGCAGACAAGCAAGCCUUCCGAGUUCUUCUGCAAAUCCUGUUCAGCACUUUGCACCUGGUAUUUUGAGUACAAAAUCUACAUAUGAAACACAGCUUACUGAGAACACUGACAAUUUUGGCAUGAGCGUUGUUUGUGAAGAUCCCUCUGAGCAUUAUGCAGGGAAUAACAACAGUGAUUUGACAUCUUAUUGUAGGAGAGUGUACUCUAGUCCUACUGCAUUACGUGUGCCCUACAAAAACUAUGAACAGACAUUGAGCUCUUCAAGAAACUCUGGAAAUGGUGCUUCCCAGAAGAGAACACAUAAAGAUAGCUCAAC